RNAcentral lists this ribosomal RNA (301 nucleotides) under uncultured bacterium. Its description in RNAcentral is "partial 16S ribosomal RNA". It matches the Rfam family "Bacterial small subunit ribosomal RNA", at positions 509 to 807 of the family's 1533-position model. The record is from RNAcentral.
CAGUCGCCGCGGUAAUACGUAGGGUGCAAGCGUUAAUCGGAAUUACUGGGCGUAAAGCGUGCGCAGGCGGUUUGUUAAGACAGAUGUGAAAUCCCCGGGCUCAACCUGGGAACUGCAUUUGUGACUGGCAAGCUAGAGUCUGGCAGAGGGGGGUGGAAUUCCGCGUGUAGCAGUGAAAUGCGUAGAUAUGCGGAGGAACACCGAUGGCGAAGGCAGCCCCCUGGGCCAACACUGACGCUCAUGCACGAAAGCGUGGGGAGCAAACAGGAUUAGAUACCCCAGUAGUCCCUGUCUCUUAUAC